Molecule: ribosomal RNA, 655 nt
Filed under: uncultured Alphaproteobacteria bacterium
Lineage: Bacteria; Pseudomonadati; Pseudomonadota; Alphaproteobacteria
Description: SSU rRNA
Rfam family: Bacterial small subunit ribosomal RNA
Source: RNAcentral
CAGCUAGUUGGUGAGGUAACGGCUCACCAAGGCGACGAUCAGUAGCUGGUCUGAGAGGAUGAUCAGCCUCAUUGGGACUGAGACACGGCCCAAACUCCUACGGGAGGCAGCAGUGGGGAAUAUUGGACAAUGGGCGCAAGCCUGAUCCAGCCAUGCCGCGUGGGUGAUGAAGGCCCUAGGGUUGUAAAGCCCUUUCGGCGGGGAAGAUAAUGACGGUACCCGCAGAAGAAGCCCCGGCUAACUUCGUGCCAGCAGCCGCGGUAAUACGAAGGGGGCUAGCGUUGCUCGGAAUCACUGGGCGUAAAGCGCACGUAGGCGGCUUUUUAAGUCAGGGGUGAAAUCCUGGAGCUCAACUCCAGAACUGCCUUUGAUACUGAGAAGCUUGAGUCCGGGAGAGGUGAGUGGAACUGCGAGUGUAGAGGUGAAAUUCGUAGAUAUUCGCAGGAACACCAGUGGCGAAGGCGGCUCACUGGCCCGGUACUGACGCUGAGGUGCGAAAGCGUGGGGAGCAAACAGGAUUAGAUACCCUGGUAGUCCACGCCGUAAACGAUGGAUGCUAGCCGUUGGCAGGCUUGCCUGUCAGUGGCGCAGCUAACGCAUUAAGCAUCCCGCCUGGGGAGUACGGUCGCAAGAUUAAAACUCAAAGGAAUUGACG